CCCGCGGGGCGGGGCGGGCGCGGCGUGAGGGCGGCAGCGGCUGCGGCUGCUCCGCCCUGCGCUCCGUGCCCCGGUGACAUCUCGCUCCUCGUCUCCCGCGGCAUCCUCUGCACAGCUCUUUGCUACACCGGGCACUGCUCCGUGUCCGGUCGUGAGCUGCCGCGUGGGAGUGUGAAAAUGUGUUCAUCCUUCCCCAGGGAUGCUCCUUCUCGUUCCUAAUUCUUUGCGCUCGUUUGAGCUUUAGCUGCGUUCAGACCUGGUUUUCCCGUCCCCUUAGAGGAAAAGUCUUGGCCCCAGUGCAGAUUUAUCAGAGGAACCAGAGGCAGUGCCUGUACUGGAGCCUUCCCACAAGUUUCCAAGGAGAGCCUGCCCUUCUCAGACAGCUGCCAGAAGGUGGCUUGGAGGCACGAGAAGGACAAGGUGAUAUCCAUCAUCUGUGAGGACAAGCUGUGGUGGGACCAACAGGAGCCUUGCCUGGAGGAGGGGAGUGUCCUCGUGGGCCAAGGGAAGAGCAGUGAGAACCAUUUACUGUGACUUUAGCAAGGCCUGUGACAAAGCUCCCCAUGGUAUCCAGGCCCCAUACUGUUGUCAAGCCUGCUGCUUGGAGUGGAGAAGGUUUCCAUCACGGCUUUGACUAUUUCAGGGUUGUUUUGACCCUCUCUCAAUCACAACCUGAUAAAUACCAUAGCUUAGUUAGUUGUGCUACUUAUUUUUUUCUCUCCAGAUACUUACAUGGUUGUUUCAUGUCAGGCUGGAAACUCCUUUAAGUGAAGGGUGGAAAACCUCUGGGUAGGUACAUCCCCAGCUCUCUGGGGCUGUGUCAAUGACCCCUCUGACAGUGGAAAUGCUUAAACUAUGCUAAGGCACGUGGAAGAUUAGGAGGUGAUUGGUGAUGGCCAAACCUGGCUUCAUCAGAGCAAAUCAUGCCUGAAAAUUUUCCUUUAGAAACACAGAAGGACAUAUGUUCAGAGAAACAGGCAUGAUGUUCCCUCCAAAAUAAGAGGGAACUGAGAAUUAGAGUUAGAACUGAGGUGAGACCCAUAAUAUAUUUGGAAGUAUAGAGUUAAGUAGAGGGAGAACUGUUCUGAAGGCAUAGAAUAGUUGUCCUGGUACAGGACAUGAGGAUAAUUUCAGACUUGAAGCCACAUGAAAAAGUCACAAAAAGAGGGCAGAAGAGGAGUGAUACUUUGUGUAAGAAGGAGAGCUGUUUGAGAAGUGGAUCACACUCCCCAGUCCCUCCCUGUCUGAGUCAUUUUCCCCUGCUGUGCUUCCAUGGGGAAUGAAGUGCUGAAGACUGACUGUUUGAUUCAGAGGGCAGUAAGAGCCUUUUGGUCUGGAAGCCAUUUCCCCAGCCUUUCUAGACUGAUCCCAGCAUGAAGCAUCCUUAUGUCCAGUGUUUCAUCCCAUUGUGCUGAAAUGAAACAUUGAUGUUUGUGAACAUCUGUAGACAAUAUUGACAAUUUUGGAAAUUGAAAACAAAACACCCAAAAUAUAUCUGUGUGCUCAUUGGAACAAUGA
Molecule: long non-coding RNA, 1518 nt
Organism: Taeniopygia guttata (zebra finch)
Lineage: Eukaryota; Metazoa; Chordata; Aves; Passeriformes; Estrildidae
Source: RefSeq, a predicted model, not a curated record